RNAcentral lists this ribosomal RNA (254 nucleotides) under uncultured bacterium. RNAcentral describes it as "partial 16S ribosomal RNA". It matches the Rfam family "Bacterial small subunit ribosomal RNA", at positions 524 to 777 of the family's 1533-position model. The record is from RNAcentral.
UACAGAGGUCUCGAGCGUUGUUCGGAUUCAUUGGGCGUAAAGGGUGCGUAGGUGGCGUGGUAAGUCUGGUGUGAAAUCCCGGGGCUCAACCCCGGAACUGCACUGGAUACUGCCAUGCUUGAGUACUGGAGAGGAGAUUGGAAUUUACGGUGUAGCAGUGAAAUGCGUAGAUAUCGUAAGGAAGACCAGUGGCGAAGGCGAAUCUCUGGACAGUUACUGACACUGAGGCACGAAGGCCAGGGGAGCAAAACGGG